GAUGAACGCUAGCGGCAGGCCUAAUACAUGCAAGCUGAACGGUAAAUAUUGUAGCAAUACAAUAUGAGAGUAGCGUAAGGGUGCGUAACACGUAUGCAAUCUGCCCUGUACAGGAGGAUAGCUCGGGGAAACCCGGAUUAAUACUCCGUAAUAUUAUUGGGAGGCAUCUCUUGAUAAUUAAAGCCGCAAGACGGUAUGGGAUGAGCAUGCGUCUGAUUAGCUAGUUGGUGGUGUAACGGACCACCAAGGCGAUGAUCAGUAGGGGAACUGAGAGGUUGAUCCCCCACACUGGCACUGAGAUACGGGCCAGACUCCUACGGGAGGCAGCAGUAGGGAAUAUUGGUCAAUGGAUGCAAGUCUGAACUAGCCAUGCCGCGUGCAGGAAGAAGGCCUUCUGGGUUGUAAACUGCUUUUGCCGGGGGAUAAAAAGUCCAUGCGUGGACAAUUGAAGGUACCCGGUGAAUAAGCCACGGCUAACUACGUG
This 484-nucleotide ribosomal RNA is filed under the name uncultured bacterium. Its description in RNAcentral is "bacterial SSU rRNA". It matches the Rfam family "Bacterial small subunit ribosomal RNA", at positions 28 to 507 of the family's 1533-position model. The record is from RNAcentral.